CACCUCUAGCAUUACCAGUAUUAGAGGCACUGCCUGCCCAGUGACAUUAGUUAAACGGCCGCGGUAUCCUGACCGUGCAAAGGUAGCAUAAUCAUUUGUUCCUUAAUUAGGGACUUGUAUGAAUGGCCCCACGAGGGUUUAACUGUCUCUUACUUUUAAUCAGUGAAAUUGACCUUCCCGUGAAGAGGCGGGAAUACAAAAAUAAGACGAGAAGACCCUAUGGAGCUUAAAUUAAUAUGUUCAACAGAAUUUAAUUAUAGCCCAAUAGGAAUAAAAAUAUUCUAACUGAACAAUAAAUUUUGGUUGGGGUGACCUCGGAGUAUAACACAACCUCCGAGCAAUUAAACCAAGACUUACCAGUCAAGGCUAUAUAACUUAUUGAUCCAAUCUUAUUGAUCAACGAAACAAGUUACCCUAGGGAUAACAGCGCAAUCCUAUUUAAGAGUUCAUAUCGACAAUAGGGUUUACGACCUCGAUGUUGGAUCAGGACACCCAAAUGGUGCAGCAGCUAUUAAAGGUUCGUUUGUUCAACG
This 533-nucleotide ribosomal RNA is filed under the name Crocidura olivieri (Olivier's shrew). RNAcentral describes it as "partial 16S ribosomal RNA". It matches the Rfam family "Bacterial large subunit ribosomal RNA", at positions 1816 to 2586 of the family's 2925-position model. The record is from RNAcentral. Lineage: Eukaryota; Metazoa; Chordata; Mammalia; Eulipotyphla; Soricidae.